RNAcentral lists this ribosomal RNA (775 nucleotides) under uncultured Neocallimastigales. RNAcentral's name for it is "partial large subunit ribosomal RNA". It matches the Rfam family "Eukaryotic large subunit ribosomal RNA", at positions 20 to 644 of the family's 3401-position model. The record is from RNAcentral. Lineage: Eukaryota; Fungi; Neocallimastigomycota; Neocallimastigomycetes; Neocallimastigales.
UACUAGAGUAGCACUCGCAUAUCAAUAAGCGGAGGAAAAGAAACUAACAAGGAUUACCCCUAGUAACGGCGAGUGAAGCGGGAAGAGCUCAAAUUUGAAAUCUUAAAGGGUUUCCCUUUACGAAUUGUAGUUUAAAGAAGUGUUUUCUGUUGAGGUUUUGGUAAAAGUUCUUUGGAAUAGGACAUCAUAGAGGGUGAGAAUCCCGUAUUUGACCUUUACUUUCAACUUUGUGAUACACUUUCAAAGAGUCGGAUUGUUUGGGAAUGCAGUCCAAAAUGGGUGGUAAAUUUCAUCUAAAGCUAAAUAUUGGCGAGAGACCGAUAGCGAACAAGUACCGUGAGGGAAAGAUGAAAAGAACUUUGAAAAGAGAGUUAAACAGUACGUGAAAUUGUCAAAAGGGAAGCGUUUGACACCAGUGUUGUUUUUCUGAAAAUCAAUUAAAGAACUGUUUAUGCUAAGCUGUUUAGACUUUAUCAGCUAUCUGUUUAGUUUUGAGCUUUUCUUUAAUGCACUUUUCAGUUAACAAGUCAACAUCAAUUUCUUUUGCUGUAAAAAAGCUUGAGGAAGGUGGCUUGAGAUUCGUCUUAAGUGUUUAUAGCCUCUUGCCUAUGCAGUCGGAGAGAUUGAGGUCUGCAGCGUAGAUCCUUCGGGGCUAAAUGCAUUUGUGCUAAGUUAUAGCAUUUUAUAGACAACUUGUUGACUAUGAUUUGUCUUGUAGCUUACUCGCUUAUGUUAUUUUACCUACGCUUAGGAUGUUGAACUACUGAGACAUAGA